GUCUACGGCCAUGCCACCCUGAACAAGCCCGGUCCCGUCUGGUCUCGGAAGCUGAGCAGGGUCGGACCUGGUUAGUACUUGGAUGGGAGACCACCUAGGAAGACCAGGUGCUGUAGGCG
Molecule: ribosomal RNA, 119 nt
Filed under: Pteropus alecto (black flying fox)
Lineage: Eukaryota; Metazoa; Chordata; Mammalia; Chiroptera; Pteropodidae
Source: RNAcentral